Long non-coding RNA from Lytechinus variegatus (green sea urchin), 511 nucleotides. RefSeq lists it as uncharacterized. The transcript is spliced from 3 exons. The record is from RefSeq and is a predicted model, not a curated record. Lineage: Eukaryota; Metazoa; Echinodermata; Echinoidea; Temnopleuroida; Toxopneustidae.
AUUUUUUUCUUCUUAAAAAAAUUGGUUGUCCAUCUUGAAUCCCGGCGCGAAGAAAUUUCAAGCCACGGGCAAGUUGGAUUAGCUUUUCACCCUUUGAAUUAGCAGUGCUGAUAGUUUUUAGAAGCGGGAUAUUUAACCGACAACUGUUUUAAGAGAAAAGAAACAAUCAGUGCAAGCUUGACCCUCCUGUUCCUGCAAGGUCUAUUGUCUUUACUUUGAAGCUUUCUCUUUUGUUGGAUCAUUGAUUGAGGGUGCCAAAGCUCACAAGACAUACAAGAAAGCAAAUACAGUGGAAAUUCUAAUAAAGAAGAAGUAAUAUACAGGACCGUGCUAUAUACAAGUACAGUAUGUAUAUUUCUGAUGCGUCUAUUAUAUUGCAAAUGGCAGAAUUUGUGAUUUAGACUGUUUGCAAUUUACAUUAUUAUGUUUUUAAAAUGAGAUAAUUACUUAGAAAAUAUUCUUUGGGUCCUUGCUCUCCAGAUAUAUACAUAAAUGUUGGGCCUUAUAUUAU